RNAcentral lists this ribosomal RNA (553 nucleotides) under Colletotrichum theobromicola. RNAcentral describes it as "eukaryotic LSU rRNA". The stretch from base 190 to 343 matches the Rfam family "5.8S ribosomal RNA". Lineage: Eukaryota; Fungi; Ascomycota; Sordariomycetes; Glomerellales; Glomerellaceae. The record is from RNAcentral.
GCGGAGGGAUCAUUACUGAGUUUACGCUCUACAACCCUUUGUGAACAUACCUACAACUGUUGCUUCGGCGGGUAGGGUCCCCGUGACCCUCCCGGCCUCCCGCCCCCCCGGGCGGGUCGGCGCCCGCCGGAGGAUAACCAAACUCUGAUUUAACGACGUUUCUUCUGAGUGGUACAAGCAAAUAAUCAAAACUUUUAACAACGGAUCUCUUGGUUCUGGCAUCGAUGAAGAACGCAGCGAAAUGCGAUAAGUAAUGUGAAUUGCAGAAUUCAGUGAAUCAUCGAAUCUUUGAACGCACAUUGCGCCCGCCAGCAUUCUGGCGGGCAUGCCUGUUCGAGCGUCAUUUCAACCCUCAAGCUCUGCUUGGUGUUGGGGCCCUACAGCUGAUGUAGGCCCUCAAAGGUAGUGGCGGACCCUCCCGGAGCCUCCUUUGCGUAGUAACUUUACGUCUCGCACUGGGAUCCGGAGGGACUCUUGCCGUAAAACCCCCCAAUUUUCCAAAGGUUGACCUCGGAUCAGGUAGGAAUACCCGCUGAACUUAAGCAUAUCAAUA